This 1341-nucleotide long non-coding RNA is filed under the name Homo sapiens (human). RNAcentral describes it as "long intergenic non-protein coding RNA 635". Lineage: Eukaryota; Metazoa; Chordata; Mammalia; Primates; Hominidae. The record is from RNAcentral.
AUAGCAACAGCAGCGUAGCUGAACAUCUUACGGAUGGCCCAGGGCUCCAAAGGCUCGUUUCCUAAGUGAGAGAGAGCCUGGCUGAAGCUGUAUUACCAUUCAUUCUCCAGCCUCCGAAGUCUCAAAGCAUCACUUCCACCAUACUCUAACUGUCAAGACAAACACAAAGGCCCAGAGAAGGGGUCUCACUAUGUUGUCUGGAGUGCUGUGGUGGAGUGGAGUGGCUAUUCACAGGAUUCUUGGAAUGGACUGUAAAAGUCUGGAAUCAAGACUUUGUGUUUCCUCUCUAACAUGUAAAGAGCUUAGAAGUUGUCGCUAUUGCCCUUACAACAAAAUGAAGCUGGACAAACUGAAAAUCAAUGACUUUUCUUGGACUCACUAUACAGCUGAGUUUGCAGAGUAAACCACUACCCUGAAAUCUGGAAAGGCAGGUGCACCCACAGAUCCUCAGCUGAGAUCCAAUUACCUGAAAUAGAAGCUGCCAUUAGGAACACUUAAAAGAGCCUGUUCUGCUGGGACACAGAAUCACUUGCUCCAUCUCAUACAUUGAUGAUGAUUAAUUUGUAUGUGUACCUUCCAAAAAAGAUGGUUGUGUUUGAAUGGAGGCCUUCUGGACAGGAAAAUAUGGAGAGUGCGUGCUUUGGAUUCAAGACUGGGAAUGAGGGGACCAGAAACCUAUUCUGUGGCUGUUUCUUGUUAGGACUUUCCUAAGCCUCUGGAAAAGUGCAAAGUACAAUUAACAUUUGAGUCUGUCUGAGUCAUGAAGAAAUGGAGAUUACUGAAAAUAAUUCAUUUUGGUAUCUUCUUACAUCCUGAGAGACUAAUCUUUCCAAGUUCAUCUGAGGCUCCUCUUCUCCAUGACAACCUCAUCCAGGGAUUUCUUCCUGUCCUGGUGUUUUAUGACAUGUGGAAGGGGACUGUAGCAGGUGAUCUCCAAAGUCUCUGGAGACUUACUAAUGUGCAUCCUCAUCUCGCUUGUAAGGAUAAUAGCCUUCCUCCAAACCUCACACACUUUUGGAGGAGAUCACUUUUUUUAAAGUGCAUGGAAAUGUUUUGAAACAGUGAAAUCUAUAAUGAUAGGUUUCAUAAUUCUAACAUCCACACCAUAUGAAUCACAUCCUUCCUGAGAUAAUGAGCACACAAUUGCCUGGAUACCUGAAGGAAUGGAGACAGCGGCAGAAAACACUGCAGAGAGGUGGAAACAUCCGUUAAUAUUUUAAAAUCCCAUUACUGCUACCAACAAUAAUAAUGGAUGCAUAGAAAUAGAUCUGGAUUAGCUGAGCUUGAAACAGUCCAUCUCACACACACACAAAAGAAUUUCAGGUAAUGAAGAAAAGAAAA